RNAcentral lists this ribosomal RNA (270 nucleotides) under uncultured Anoxybacillus sp. RNAcentral describes it as "partial 16S ribosomal RNA". It matches the Rfam family "Bacterial small subunit ribosomal RNA", at positions 1111 to 1382 of the family's 1533-position model. Lineage: Bacteria; Bacillati; Bacillota; Bacilli; Caryophanales; Anoxybacillaceae. The record is from RNAcentral.
UUAGUUGCCAGCAUUCAGUUGGGCACUCUAAGGUGACUGCCGGCUAAAAGUCGGAGGAAGGUGGGGAUGACGUCAAAUCAUCAUGCCCCUUAUGACCUGGGCUACACACGUGCUACAAUGGGCGGUACAAAGGGUCGCGAACCCGCGAGGGGGAGCCAAUCCCAAAAAGCCGCUCUCAGUUCGGAUUGCAGGCUGCAACUCGCCUGCAUGAAGCCGGAAUCGCUAGUAAUCGCGGAUCAGCAUGCCGCGGUGAAUACGUUCCCGGGCCUU